Molecule: ribosomal RNA, 507 nt
Filed under: uncultured bacterium
Lineage: Bacteria
Description: partial 16S ribosomal RNA
Rfam family: Bacterial small subunit ribosomal RNA
Source: RNAcentral
ACUCAAAUGAAUUGACGGGGGCCCGCACAAGCGGCGGAGCAUGUGGCUUAAUUCGACGCAACGCGAAGAACCUUACCAAGGCUUGACAUGCAUCGGAAGCAUCCAGAGAUGGGUGUGCUCUUUGAGUCGGUGUACAGGUGGUGCAUGGCUGUCGUCAGCUCGUGUCGUGAGAUGUUGGGUUAAGUCCCGCAACGAGCGCAACCCUUGUCCUGUGUUGCCAGCGGGGCCCUUCGGGGCUGCCGGGGACUCACGGGAGACUGCCGGGGUCAACUCGGAGGAAGGUGGGGACGACGUCAAGUCAUCAUGCCCCUUAUGUCUUGGGCUGCACACGUGCUACAAUGGCCGGUACAAUGAGCUGCGAUACCGUGAGGUGGAGCGAAUCUCAAAAAGCCGGUCUCAGUUCGGAUUGGGGUCUGCAACUCGACCCCAUGAAGUCGGAGUCGCUAGUAAUCGCAGAUCAGCAUUGCUGCGGUGAAUACGUUCCCGGGCCUUGUACACACCGCCCGU